RNAcentral lists this long non-coding RNA (673 nucleotides) under Macaca mulatta (Rhesus monkey). Its description in RNAcentral is "lncRNA (ENSMMUG00000059982.1)". The record is from RNAcentral. Lineage: Eukaryota; Metazoa; Chordata; Mammalia; Primates; Cercopithecidae.
AAUCAUUUUAAAUAAAAUAAAUCCACAGCAGUGUUAGUCUGGUCCUUUUUCUUCCUUCAACUUCAUUGUGACAUUUGAGCAUGUUGAAGGGAAAGUAAAUAACCCUGUCUUUCUCCUUUUACACCUCAGCUGCUCUUCAAAGCAACAGAAUAUAUAAUUAUUAUGUGCUUACAUCUGAAGAGGAUCCUUGAAGAUAUUAAGGAAUUCAGUAGAAAUCUGUUGCAAAUAACAGGAAGAAAUAUAUAAUGGCAAAAAGAAAAGAAAGGAAAAAAAACUCAGAGUACUUGGAGUCAACACACCUGAACCUGAAACCUGGACUCUCCAAGGUCCCAAGAUCUGAAACAUUCAUUCAUGAAGUGGAUCAUGGAUUGGUUCAGUCUUGUGGAAGAACCACUUUAAAUCUGCACGGUCUAAGCCAGGAAGAGAUCACAAAGGCUGCCUCUCCCCUGUGAGGGAUAACAAAGGGGAGAAUAACUUAAAGGUGUACGGCACUUGAGGAGUGACAUCAGCACACACUCAAAAUCAGUAAGUCUUUGAAGAGCUCUUGAGGUAAGGUUCUACCAUUUUCCUGAAUUCCCGUUACAUAAUCACCAAGCAGAAAGCCAGUUUCCACUCAAACACAUCUAGAGGUAAGAAAUUCUUUUUUUUCCUGGGCAGCCAAGUCCAUUUUCAG